RNAcentral lists this ribosomal RNA (301 nucleotides) under uncultured bacterium. RNAcentral describes it as "partial 16S ribosomal RNA". It matches the Rfam family "Bacterial small subunit ribosomal RNA", at positions 509 to 808 of the family's 1533-position model. The record is from RNAcentral.
CAGCAGCCGCGGGAAUACGUAGGGUGCAAGCGUUAAUCGGAAUUACUGGGCGUAAAGCGUGCGCAGGCGGUUAUAUAAGACAGAUGUGAAAUCCCCGGGCUCAACCUGGGAACUGCAUUUGUGACUGUAUAGCUAGAGUACGGCAGAGGGGGAUGGAAUUCCGAGUGUAGCAGUGAAAUGCGUAGAUAUGCGGAGGAACACCGAUGGCGAAGGCAAUCCCCUGGGCCUGUACUGACGCUCAUGCACGAAAGCGUGGGGAGCAAACAGGAUUAGAUACCCCGCGUAGUCCCUGUCUCUUAUA